CUACGGGUUGCUGCAGUAAGGAAUAUUGCGCAAUGGAGGCAACUCUGACGCAGCCAUGCCGCGUGCAGGAAGAAGGCCUUAUGGGUCGUAAACUGCUUUUAUUUAGGAAUAAACCCCCGAGCGUGUUCGGGGCUGAAGGUACUAAACGAAUAAGCACCGGCUAACUCCGUGCCAGCAGCCGCGGUAAUACGGAGGGUGCAAGCGUUAUCCGGAUUUAUUGGGUUUAAAGGGUGCGCAGGCGGGCUAUUAAGUCAGUGGUGAAAUCCCGGGGCUCAACUCCGGAACUGCCAUUGAUACUGAUAGUCUUGAGUUUGGUUGAAGUGGGCGGAAUGUAGCAUGUAGCGGUGAAAUGCAUAGAUAUGCUACAGAACACCAAUCGCGAAGGCAGCUCACUAAGCCAAAACUGACGCUCAUGCACGAAAGCGUGGGGAUCAAACAGGAUUAGAUACCCCGGUAGUC
RNAcentral lists this ribosomal RNA (459 nucleotides) under uncultured bacterium. Its description in RNAcentral is "partial 16S ribosomal RNA". It matches the Rfam family "Bacterial small subunit ribosomal RNA", at positions 339 to 795 of the family's 1533-position model. The record is from RNAcentral.